Molecule: long non-coding RNA, 500 nt
Organism: Drosophila arizonae
Lineage: Eukaryota; Metazoa; Arthropoda; Insecta; Diptera; Drosophilidae
Source: RefSeq, a predicted model, not a curated record
UCUGUCCUUCUCUCUUGACUGUCUUUCUCUCGCUAUUUCUCUGCCUGCGUUUGCUGUGAGGCAUUUGUUAACUUCAUUCAACAUUCGCGUAUCACAGUUAACCGUUAACAGUUGCCAAUUUCAAUUCGCGUUCAUUUAACGCGCUCUCGUUCGCGUCAUUCGUAAUAACGGGUUAUAAAUGUGUGUGUGUGUGUGUGUGUGUGUGUGUGUGUGUGUGUGUGUGUGUGUGUGUGUGUGUGACAUAAAUUUGGUACACACUCGAGUUAAUUGAUUAGUUGGUCUGUCGUCAGCAGCCCGAGAGGAAGGCGGGGUUCGCCUUUCGGAGCUAUUAUAUCAGCUCUAUCUACAGCAAUUGCACUCGCCAAGCACUUUGAAACGCCCACAAUCUCGAAACUAGUGCAAAAUAUAAAAGUUAAAUAAAUCAGCUUAUCUUUAUGGGGCACUAUUAACAUGGAACACCUCUUUCAUCAUAUAACUUCUCAAAGAUAGCCAGAGCUAAG